UGGGGAAUUUUGGACAAUGGGCGAAAGCCUGAUCCAGCAAUGCCGCGUGUGUGAAGAAGGCCUUCGGGUUGUAAAGCACUUUUGUCCGGAAAGAAAUGGCUCUGGUUAAUACCUGGGGUCGAUGACGGUACCGGAAGAAUAAGGACCGGCUAACUACGUGCCAGCAGCCGCGGUAAUACGUAGGGUCCAAGCGUUAAUCGGAAUUACUGGGCGUAAAGCGUGCGCAGGCGGUUGUGCAAGACCGAUGUGAAAUCCCCGAGCUUAACUUGGGAAUUGCAUUGGUGACUGCACGGCUAGAGUGUGUCAGAGGGGGGUAGAAUUCCACGUGUAGCAGUGAAAUGCGUAGAGAUGUGGAGGAAUACCGAUGGCGAAGGCAGCCCCUGGGAUAACACUGACGCUCAUGCACGAAAGCGUGGGGAGCAAACAGGAUUAGAUACCCUGGUAGUCCACGCCCUAAACGAUGUCAACUAGUUGUUGGGGAUUCAUUUCCUUAGUAACGUAGCUAACGCGUGAAAGUUGACCGCCUGGGGAGUACGGUCGCAAAGAUUAAAACUUAAAGGAAAUUGACGGGGGUCAUAGCUGUUUUCCU
Molecule: ribosomal RNA, 589 nt
Filed under: uncultured bacterium
Lineage: Bacteria
Description: partial 16S ribosomal RNA
Rfam family: Bacterial small subunit ribosomal RNA
Source: RNAcentral